AGGGGAACUAAAGCAGCUUGGUCAAGGAGAGCCGUAGAUCCAGAAUGUUCUGUCGAUUUUGAAUGUUCAGCUUCUGCUUUGGCCCCAGGACAUGGAAGCAGAGCUUAGGCAAUUGUGAGGCCGGGUAACUUUGAGAUUCCCCUGUGGAACACGUGGUGUGGCCAAUGCGUUUUAUGACGGUAUGGACAAGAUGAACGGACAUGGUUUAAGGUCUUGUCAACAACAUGAAGAACUGUCUCCUGAGCCCGUCUUCAUGUGCCAGACCAGUAAGUGCUGAACAUACGAUAUGCAUUAUCUCAUGAUUAGCAGAUUCUAAUACCAUUAUUGGGUCUUAUUUUACAGAGGAGGAAACGGUGCAAUGAAGACACCUGAUUCUAGAAGCUAGAAGCUCAUGAUUCUAGAGCUAGUCAGUGACUGAGCCGAACUUGACACUCAUUCUUUCUGCUAAUGAAGUUCAAGCUUUUGACCACAAUGCUGCACUGCCCAGCGUUCCAGUAUGAGGGGCAAGAAGAGAGUGUCAGAACUGGUAUACCAUCCUGUAAAAUCUCAAAGGUCUGAGCUACGUCUCUGAUGUGAGGUGACAUAAGCC
Molecule: long non-coding RNA, 589 nt
Filed under: Sus scrofa (pig)
Lineage: Eukaryota; Metazoa; Chordata; Mammalia; Artiodactyla; Suidae
Description: lncRNA (ENSSSCG00050073082.1)
Source: RNAcentral